AGUUUAGGACACAAGAGAAGAAACGUCAUGAAAUUGUAAAAAUAGUAGGUAGUCACAUAGGUUAGAGGAGAUAGUAUCAACUAGCGUACCCAGGGUCCAACUUAAGGACCAUAGAAAAAUUUUAGUAGAAAAAUCAGAAUCACAUAAAGAAACAGAGAGUUCCAGACUCAGUUGAGCAAACAAAUGAAACAAAUUCAAAAAACUCGAAAUAGGUUCAAAAGAGUUAGGUUUUUUCAGAAAUUAAACAAGUUCAAAAAUGAAGAGCCAACAAAUCACAUAGCCAAGGGUCUCAAAACUCGGAUGAACCCCCAAAUUUAGGGUUCUUGCCAUUAACCGAGAACAGAGACAAUAGGGCAAGUGAUUAGGGGAAAAUAUACUACUUGAAAUAGGUUCAGAGGUCUCAGACCUUUUAAUAUGUUCCUUCAGAAACAGAAAUUCAUGAGAAACAUAGUAAAAAAGUAACAUGCGAAACAACAGUAGAAGAACUGGUAGAAGAAACAAAUAAGAACAUGGUAGGAGAAUCUUAACAAGAGCAUAGUAGGAGAGAGAUAGUAGAAGAACAUGGUAAAAGAAAUUUUAACAAGAACACACUAGGAGAAGCAUAAUAGAAAACACACAAGAGAAAAAGAAAAUCAGAGAAACACACAAGAGAAUAAGAAAAUCACAGAAACAUAACUCAAAACCCUAGAUCGGAAAAUAAAGGUUUUGAAAGCAUAACUUUUUAAAGAAAUAUCGGAAAAUUGUUUAAAAGCUUAGGGAAAACAUGAAUCUGGAAUAGAUCUACAGAGAUCAGAAAAAACCUCAAAAACUAGGGUUUCAAAGGAACCCAAACGGUGAGAAAAGCUUGGAUCUAAGCAGGAGGAGUUGAGGCCAGGCUCAAACAGAUAUGUCUCGCCGGAGCAAGGCCGGAUAUGGCCGCGGAACUUGAAUUGGCAAAGAUCUGGACCCAACUCUUCAUGGUCAAGUCAUGAAACUUCAGUAACCAAGCGUGAGGAGCCAUAUGAAGCUGGUGGGUGGUGAAACCACCAUAGAUUCAGUCCAGGAGGUGGCCGAAGAAGGUGAGUAAAACUCAUCGGAGAGGAGGCAAAGGGGGAAGGUUCAAGAAAGAACCAGAGAUAGAAC
This 1122-nucleotide long non-coding RNA is filed under the name Nicotiana benthamiana. Its description in RNAcentral is "long non-coding RNA (NBEN_LNC022001)". The record is from RNAcentral. Lineage: Eukaryota; Viridiplantae; Streptophyta; Magnoliopsida; Solanales; Solanaceae.